Amphiprion ocellaris (clown anemonefish) is the source of this 2481-nucleotide long non-coding RNA. NCBI's taxonomy places the organism in Eukaryota, Metazoa, Chordata, Actinopteri, Pomacentridae. The record is from Ensembl.
UUUUUGGGUCAGAUUUUCAUAUUUUUAAAAUCUUUUUGUGGUGGUUUGCAUCCUAUUUUGGUCUUUUUACAUGUUUGUGGUUGUUUUGUGUCAGGUUAUGGUUAUUUCAGAUCAUUUCCUCGACUUUCUGUCUCUUUUUUGGUGUUUUUACAUCUUUUGUUGGUGUUUUCCGUCUAAUUCUGGACAUUUAAUUUUUUUUGUGGUUGUUUUGCAUCAUUUUUCUGGAAAUUUAGCAUUUUUUUGAGGUUUAUUACUUAAUAAUUUGGUUGUUUUACAUCCUUCACGUCACAUUUUGGUUGUUUUGUGUCCCAUUAUGGUUAUAUAUCGCAUCAUUUGCUUGGCUUUGUGUGUCUUUUUUGGUUGUUUUACAUGCUUUUGGUGUUGUUUAGCAUUCUAUUUUGGUCUUUUACAUCUUUUUGUGGUAGUUUUGCAUCUAGUUUUGGUCUUCUUACAUGUUGUUUUGUUUCAUUUUGGUGUUUUUACAUCUUUUUGUGGGUGUUUUCCAUCCAAUUUUGUAUGGAAAUUUAAUGUCUUUUGGAGGUUUAUUGCUUAAUAAUUUGGCUGUUUUACAUCCUUUAUGUCACAUUUUGGUAGUUUUACAUGUUUGUGGUAGUUAUGCAUCACAUUGUGGUCGUUUUAUGUCACCUGGGUCACAUUUUGAUCAUUUUUACAGAAGAGAAUCAUCUGUAAAACAUUUCUCAGGAGAUCGGUGGCAGUAAGAUGAGUGAAUGUCAAGAGACAAACAGGAGAGAGAACGAACACUAAGUAUUCCUGAUUUAAAGCAGAGUUUUGGGUAAUUUUAGAAUUUAUUGGCCAGAUUUCAUUAAUCUGUGCAGAUUUCUGUGAAUGUGAUGUUAUGUUUACUUUUAUUUCGAGGUGAAACCGAUGGUGUAAAAUGCUGGAAAAAGGCUUUGUGUGAUUUUCAAUGAGGCAAAUCCGAAGACGCCUCUGAUUCCAAGCAGCUGCUGAAAGACGCUGAUCAGCAGAAGAAGCUCAAAGAGGUUCAGGAUUUUAUGCUGCAGAGAAAAAUUAACCUACAUUCAGAUGCAUAAAGUCAGACGAGUCUCUUGAGCUGCUUCAGUCUCGACCAGCAGGAAUGUGGUCAGAAGUCGGAGUCGUCUGUGGCCGAGUUAUCGGCGGCGAGGAUUCCUGUUGGCUCUGGCGGCGGCUCGUGUCCAUCCUGCUGCUGCUGCUGCUGCUGCUCCCUCUUCUUCUUCUUGUUGUGGUUCUUGACAUGCACGCUCAACCCCCUCUCAGUCAUUUCGUAGAUCUGACACUUGGCGCAGUAGUAUGGCGACACCCCGACGUGCCGGAACUGGUCUGCGAGGUACGAUGCCAGCGUCUUGAAGCCCUUGCUGCAGACGUGGCAGCGCGGGACGACGCCCGGGUGCUCCUUCUCCAGGUGCUUCCUCAGACCCCACCUGGAGCCACUGAACGCCUCCAGACCGCCGGCCGGGCACACGUGGCAAGUGAAGACGGCGUCCUGGUUGGCGUGGCGACGGGUGUGGGCGUCCAGCUCCACCUGCGUGCGGACCGACUGCUGGCAGGACGUGCAGAAGAACGUCUUCUUGCCCUCCAUGUGGUGCGUCUGCUUCAGGUGCACGGCGAGGCCCGACGCCCUCUUGAAGGUCUUGCCGGGCGGCGGACACAUGGUGCACACCAGCUGCCUCUGCCCCGAGUUCAUGACAUCGCUGUAGUCCUCACCCAGCUCCAGGACGCUCUUGUUGCUUACCAGCUCCUCCCUCCUCGCCUCCUCCAGCUUCCUCUUCUGCUCUAGCCUCGGCCUCAUCAGUCUGGACGGUGGCGGAUCUGCGCUCCUCUCUCGGACCACCGGCCGCUUCACAACCGGCUUCUUGGCGGGAAGCGAGCGGUCGACGGACACGGUGAACUGGUAGCUCUCUCCCUCCUCUUCGGGGUUGGAGUACUCGAUGACGUAGACGCCCUCCUCCUCCUCCUCUACCACCUCCUCCUCGGCGGGCAGCGAAUACUCCAUCUCGUAGUACUCGGUCACGUUGCUCCUCGCCUUCCCGCCCAUGUGCGACUGCUCCCCUGCGAUGUGCGUGUCGUCGAUCCUCACCACGGUGAUCUGGUCCAUGCUGCCGGCAGCCUCCCAGUUUCCGUUUCCGGCCAUGACCGAGGACGACGACGCUUUUCCUGCAGCUCCACCUCGAAGAUGUUCAGAAGAUGUCUGGAACAAGAAAAUAAAUAUAAAUGCAUGUUUUAUUACAGAAAAAAACACACAAAAAUACCCUUUAACCCUUUUGCUGUAUUCAUUGAUUGGCACCAAAAAAUAUUUUUAAAAAAAUCUAAUAAAAAAAAUCCAAAAAUUCAGCAAAAAAAUCCCCCAAAUUUCUGAAAAUUUGCAAAACCUUCAGGAAGAAAAUUCCAAUAAUUCCUUGAAAGUUUCCCUUAAAAGUUUCAUUUGAAAAAAAUCCCUCCAAUUUGGCAAGAAAAUUCUUGUAAAUAUUUUCAAAAAAUGAG